AAUUCUCCCACUCCAACCGCCCAAGUCCAGGUACAUCAUCAUCGAUCUCACUCAAAGACCUACUUGAUUUUUCAAUUUAUGGACUUUAAAUUGAUUUGAUGGGUUUAAUUGAUUUUAUUUUGUGGGUUUAGGUUUUGAAUAUCAAUUGCUUUCAGAGAAAACCAGAUGGAGAUGAUAAGGUAAAUUUCUUCAUUUCUUUAUGCUUUUAGUUUUUAUGUAGUCAAAAUUAAGCUUCUCUUUGGGCUGAGAUUUGUUUAUCUUUUUGUAUAUUUAUUUCUGAUUAGAGGUUAAUCCUUUGUUCAAUAAUUAGGGCAUUCUAGUUGAAAAAAAAAUUGGAUUUAGCGCCGAUGGUGGUGGCAGAGGCUGUGGGAGCGGGAGAUGAACUUGUGCUAUAUUUUUAAUUAGAGAUUUUAUUAGAGAUUUGUGGAUUGAAGUAUUGGGAGCAAUCUGUUCUUUUAUUGAUUAAUUUUAUGUGGCUUUGAUUGAAAAAUGAGAUUAUUCUAAUUUAAUUUUUUUUGGGAUAAUUUAAAUUAUUUCUAGAAUAUAAAAAGUUUUUUUGUGUUGGUGGCAGUAGCAUGGUAGCGGCAGUGGAAGGGUGGUAGUGGCCGUGCUAGUGGAAGAGAAGAUUGAAAGUGAAGAUGA
This 642-nucleotide long non-coding RNA is filed under the name Panax ginseng (ginseng). RNAcentral's name for it is "long non-coding RNA (PGIN_LNC017028)". The record is from RNAcentral. Lineage: Eukaryota; Viridiplantae; Streptophyta; Magnoliopsida; Apiales; Araliaceae.